GACGAACGCUGGCGGCGUGCUUAACACAUGCAAGUCGAACGGGAUUUAGUAGACAGAAGCCUCGGCUAAAGAUUACUAAUGAGAGUGGCGAACGGGUGAGUAACGCGUGAGCAACCUGCCUAUGACAGUGGGAUAGCCUCGGGAAACCGGGAUUAAUACCGCAUAAAAUCGUAGAAACACAUGUUUCAACGGUCAAAGAUUUAUCGGUCAUAGAUGGGCUCGCGUCUGAUUAGCUAGUUGGUGAGAUAACAGCCCACCAAGGCGACGAUCAGUAGCCGGUCGGAGAGGAUGAACGGCCACAUUGGAACUGAGACACGGUCCAAACUCCUACGGGAGGCAGCAGUGGGGAAUAUUGCACAAUGGGGGAAACCCUGAUGCAGCGACGCCGCGUGAACGAAGAAGGUAUUCGUAUCGUAAAGUUCUGUCCUAUGGGAAGAUAAUGACAGUACCAUAGAAGAAAGCUCCGGCUAAAUACGUG
Molecule: ribosomal RNA, 478 nt
Filed under: uncultured bacterium
Lineage: Bacteria
Description: partial 16S ribosomal RNA
Rfam family: Bacterial small subunit ribosomal RNA
Source: RNAcentral